Aquila chrysaetos chrysaetos is the source of this 2566-nucleotide RNA transcript. It is a transcript of the gene named arrestin domain-containing protein 3-like, with no coding region annotated. The transcript is spliced from 9 exons. The record is from RefSeq and is a predicted model, not a curated record. Lineage: Eukaryota; Metazoa; Chordata; Aves; Accipitriformes; Accipitridae.
AGACGGAAGCAAUAACACAAGAAAAACGCACACGACAGGGAAGAUACGCGCAAGCGGCGGAGGAAAUCGCCGCCGCGACUCGACUCGCGCAUGCGCGACGGGGUUGUUUUUCACAAAGCUGUUCGCAAAGUGAGCUGGUAGCGUGUGGGCAGCUGUCUUUGUGAGGAGAUCGCAGCGCUGGGCGGCUGUUGUCUCCUCAGUAAUUCCGAUGAAGCGUUUGUAGGGGACACGCUGAUCUUGUUGGCAGGCUCUUUGCGUGGCAGAGGCGUUGUUCAGUCUAGAGUGAGGAUCGCAUUUUGUAUGAGGCCUUUGAUUUUUUUUUUCUUACAGUAUAUUUUUAUAGACUUUGUUAUAAAGUAUGGUGCUGGGAAAGGUGAAGAGUUUGACGAUAAGCUUUGACUGUCUCAAUGACAGCAAUAUCCCUGUCUAUUCUAGCGGGGACACAGUCUCAGGAAGGGUCAGUUUAGAAGUUACUGGGGAUAUUAGAGUAAAAUCUCUUAAAAUUCAUGCAAGAGGACGUGCAAAAGUACGUUGGACUGAAUCUAGAAAUGCUGGAUCCAAUACUGCCUAUACACAAAAUUACACUGAAGAAGUAGAGUAUUUUAACCAUGAGGACGUUCUACUCGGGCACGAAAGAGAUGAUGACAAUUCUGAAGAAGGCCUUCACACCAUUCAUUCAGGAAGGCAUGAAUAUGCAUUCAGCUUUGAGCUUCCACAGAUACCACUUGCUACCUCAUUCGAAGGCAGACAUGGCAGUGUGCGCUAUUGGGUGAAAGCUGAAUUGCAUAGGCCUUGGCUUCUACCAGUAAAACUAAAGAAGGAAUUUACAGUCUUUGAACAUAUAGAUAUCAACACUCCUUCGUUACUGUCACCCCAAGCAGGCACAAAAGAAAAGACUCUCUGUUGUUGGCUUUGUACCUCAGGCCCGAUAUCCUUAAGUGCCAAAAUUGAAAGAAAGGGCUAUACCCCAGGUGAAUCAAUUCAGAUCUUUGCUGAGAUUGAGAAUUGCUCUUCCCGUAUGGUGGUGCCAAAGGCAACCAUUUACCAAACACAGGCAUUCUAUGCCAAAGGGAAAAUGAAGGAAGUCAAACAGCUUGUUGCCAACCUCCGUGGGGAAUCCUUGUCAUCUGGCAAAACGGAAACCUGGAAUGGCAAACAGUUGAAAAUUCCACCUGUUUCCCCUUCAAUCCUUGACUGUAGUAUAAUCCAUGUGGAGUAUUCAUUGAUGGUAUAUGUUGAUAUUCCAGGAGCUAUGGAUUUAUUCCUUAACUUACCGCUGGUCAUUGGUACCAUUCCUCUACAUCCAUUUGGUAGCAGAACAUCAAGUGUGAGCAGCCAGGGUAGCAUGAACAUGAAUUGGCUUGGUCUGACACUGCCUGAAAGACCAGAAGCACCUCCCAGCUAUGCAGAAGUGGUCACAGAGGAAAACAGACAGUCCAGCCUUGCACCUAUAGCUGCUUUUGAUGAUUUUGAGAGAGCCCUUCAAGGACCAUUAUUUGCAUACAUCCAGGAGUUCCGUUUUCUGCCUCCACCCCUAUAUUCAGAAGUUUAUUUUUAACAUGAACUCUGCAACCUUAAAUUUAAAAGGUGCUCUGUGAGGUGCCUUGGCUUCUCUAUCAUGCUAUUUCCUGCAGCUGCAGACCUGGAAGAUUGAUCCAAACCCAGAUCAGCCCACAGAUGAGAGACCAUCUUGCCCCUCUUGUUGAAGGAAUCCAUAAAAAGCUGACUUGACUUGGGUUUUGAAUCACACCUGCUGUGUUGAAGAUCAAGGUGUCAUAGUGGAGACUUGCUCUUAAAGGAAAUGGUAUUGCUAUGCUUGUAUAGUGAAUAAAUGAAAACAACCUGUGAUCAUACUUUGACACCUGCAGCACAUCAUAGGACUGUUCCACAUGCUUGAAAACCUGAGGCCCCCUCCCUUAAAUAGUGGCACAUACUAGGAGCAACCUUACCUAGUGUACAGUCAUGUUUCAAAACACUCAAACCACGUUGUAAGAGAGAAAUGGCUGCUGCUUCUGAUUUGAAAAUUUGCACAUGCUUAUUGCUUAUGUUAUGCAGUUCAGUGUCACUACAGCUUUUUCUCAUUUAUGAUGGACUGUUGUUACCCCCCCCCCCCAAUUGUUUGUGAUCUGCACAACAAGGAACAAAAGAAAGCUUUGACAAAAAAAAAAAAAAGGCGAUGAAGACUGACAAAUGCACUGACUUUUUUUUAAAUUUAAUGUAGCCUGGACUUUACCUGCAUAUGCACAUGCUCAGAAUUGUCCUAGUAGGCUGAUCAUGUAUCAUCUCUUCAGCUUGGAUCCUAUUGUGGAUUUAUUUACAAACAUCACAUGCCUUUAAGCCAAUCCUUCUUGCUGUUUUGCAGCCAACUGUAGUAGACAAGCAACAGAUAUGUGGGGGUGGGGGCAGAGAUAACAGAAGGAAACCAGUAAGAGGCUUAUCAAGAUUGUAUACCUUCUUGAUUUCUUUUAAUAAUUUGUUGCCUUUCUGCUAUUAUUGCAAAGCAACAUUUUUGUUACAGACUGCUUAAAGAUCACUUAAUCUCAGGUGAACUCAUCACUUGCCAAAC